Molecule: RNA transcript, 3290 nt
Organism: Cryptomeria japonica (Japanese cedar)
Lineage: Eukaryota; Viridiplantae; Streptophyta; Pinopsida; Cupressales; Cupressaceae
Gene name: RAP domain-containing protein, chloroplastic
Exons: 4
Source: RefSeq, a predicted model, not a curated record
UUGAAUUUUCAAGACGAGGAAUUUUUUGUGAAUUUAACGGUGGAUAGCUCACUGUGAGAUGAUUAUGUUCUUCGAAAUACAUUAGAACUGAUGUAAAUAUUUAAUCUCCUUAUCCGUUUUAAGAAUCACAUUCGUGUACAGGCUAAGCGCAAAUAAUGUCUGGUAAUCGAUAUUCCAUCGUAUGGAGAUAUUUGGCAGAUGUGCCACGAGAAGCUCUGAGUGUAGAAAUUUACCCAGCAUACUUUAAAGCAAAUAUUAGUUGGCUGAGGAAAUUAAAGCUUAUCAUCUCCCAAACCGUUUUGCAGCAAGGAAUUCAGGUCUCCUAAUUUUUUAAUUAUUUCAUUCAGUAUCUCAGUUUAAACGUUAUUUGAAAUAAUCUGUGCUACAAUCUGUAAAUUCAAUUUACAGUAGGAGGAAAAACAAGGAUUACAACACUACCCUUUUGUAGCAGUCGAAACAAGUAUUCUAAUUUUAGAAUACUUGCCUUUGGUUCAAGGGUCCAAGAACUUAUUUCAAUGAGAGCGGGAGUGUUUGGUGAUGUUAGUGUUUUUGUGUUGGUUGGGCUGUGGUCUAGCAGUAAACUGGUGGGAAUUUAUGUGGUCUAGGGGGUAAAUUGGUGAUAUUUUAUGUGGUCUAGCAGUGAUUUGGCGGAAGUUUAGCACUUCUAUUCCAAUUUUAGUUUUGAAGGCUACCUGUGGUUUGGGAACCUUAGAGUGACUCCAUUCUAGGAGUUCGAUCCUCACAGCCGGGGAAAAAGGGCUUACCAACCAAAUAGAAAUAAUUGUAGUUUUUUGAUGGAGGCAUUGGCAGUGCGGUGUGCAUUCAAGUUUCAUUCGCAAGGUAAGGGAAACGAUGCAUUUUAUGUGAGAGCAAAGCCUUCUGAUUUUGGUGGUAAAACACUGCCAUUGAGAUGGAAGGAUAAUGACAAUGGCAUUAGAAUGAGAAUGUCGGCAAUUCAUAUUGGGAAGGAAAAGGAAAGGGAAAAGGAAGACGAAGUGGAUUUUGAUUGGCACAUCGAUCUUGAAACUGAGAAGGAAAUGGAAGGGGAAGUGGAUUCUGAUUGGGAACGAGAAAUUUUGAAUGAGAUUGACCCCUUAGGCUUUAAAUCUCCAUGGCAGAGAUCAAAGUACAAGUCAUCAGUAAGAGAAGAAGAAGAAGAUAUAGAAAUUAGGGAUUGGGUUACAAGAGCUAGGAAUAAGGCUUUUAAAGCCAUUGAGGCCAGAGGAUUUAGCUCAUCCUCUGUAGAAAAGUUGUUGCCUUCUAAGAAGAAGAAACGAAAAAGUCAAAAGAAUAAGAAGAAGACGGUCAAUAGAAAGAAAGAUAAGUUUGAAGUAGAUGACGACGAUGAUGAUUUUGAUUUUGAUUCUGAUUCUUAUACUCAAUUAGAAAGUGCUGCUAUAGAAAAGAUAAGUGAAAAACAUGAUAAAAUGCAAUUUGAUUUCAGAGAAAAACUUGUAGCCAUUUCAGGACCAACCAACAGGAAGAAAGAGGUUGCCUUGAAUAAUGCUUUGGUAGAGGCAGCGACUGCACAGGAUGUUCUUAUAGAAGUGACAGAUGUGAUUGAAGCUGUUAGCAAAGGUUUAAGUCCUUCUCCCUUGAAUCCAUUGAAUAUGGCAACUGCUCUUCACAGGAUAGCCAAAAACAUGGAAAAGGUUUGUAUGAGCAAGAGUGAUAGAUUGGGGUUCGUAAGGCAGAGGGAUAUGGCUGUGCUUGUGAGUCUUGCAAUGGGCUCCUUGCCUCAUUGCUCUGCUCAAGGCAUAUCCAAUAUUGCUUGGGCAUUGUCCAAAAUUGGUGGAGAAACUAUUUACUGGUCUGAGAUGGAUAGAAUAGCAGAAGUGGCCAUGACAAAAAUGUCGGAGUUCAAUACACAAAAUGUUGCCAAUCUAGCAGGUGCAUUUGCAUCCAUGCAACAUUCUGCUCCAGACCUGUUCACUGAAUUGUCAAAUAGGGCAUCCUGCAUGGCAAGUUCCUUUAGACCACAGGAACUUGCACAAUUUCUAUGGUCAUUUUCUGUUCUGUACCAUCCUGCAGAUCCCUUUUUGGAUUCACUUGACUCCAUUUAUGUUAGUGGGAAAACUAAAAAUGCCAAUUGCAUGGACUCCAAAGUAAAUGCUAUGGACGUUACAAAAAGUGGUGAAUCUGAUCAAGAUCAUUUUGAACUAAAUUGUGAGGCCAAUAUCCCACAGAUGGAUUUGAAUGAUCCGUUGCAUAGUAAAGAUGAAAAUGAUUUUCCAGAGACUAUUGAAGACUUGGAACUUGAUGAUUGUUCUGAAACACUUGAGAGUAAUUUGGAUCUCCAUGUUUCGAUGGGCCCUCUGUUCGAUGACUUCACAAGGGACCAGCUAGCAGUUGUUGCAUGGUCAUACAUGGUUCUGAACCAAAUGGGACGUUCUUUCUUUUCUUUUAUCUGGAGCUCAAUGAUUGAGUUUGAAUCCCAAAGAAUUUCACCGCUUUACCAUCAGGAUGUGAAGUUUGCACAACAGCUGCACCAGAUAAAUCAAUGUUUGAAGCUAGAAUAUCCUUAUCUUGCACUAUCAAUUGGGACCGAGCUUGAGAAAAGAGUUGCAGAAGCUUGUAAAUCAAAAAGGUUUAAUAAGAAAGUAACUUCCUUGUUUCAGAAGGAAGUAGCACAUCUCCUUGUGAGCACAGGUUUUGAUUGGGUUCAAGAAUACUGUGUAGAUGGUUAUAUUCUGGAUGCAGUAAUAAGUAACAAAAAGGUUUGUUUGGAGAUUGAUGGUCCAUCCCACUUUUCACGAAAUACAGUAACUCCUCUUGGUCAUACCAUGCUGAAGCGGCGCUACUUGGCUUCUGCUGGUUGGCAUGUUGUGUCAUUGCCCUGGCAAGAUGUGAAGGCUACAGAGGUGUGAGACAUGCAUCAUAGGUGUAGGAAUCAUUGGAGAAGGAAGAUUUAGCCAUCAAAGUGGAAAGAACUUUCUGGUGAAUCUGAGCAGAUGGAGUACUUAAAGACACUUCUCAACAAUGUUUUGUGAAAAUGACUGGGAGUCAACUAGCAAAACAAUCUGAACUAAUCCUGCACAUGUAUGGUUACUGGAAUUCUGUCUUUGAAUUCUACAAGGGUAAUGCUUUUAUUGGCUUCCUUGCUAGCUUGUAGUUCAUUGCGUUAUUUGUAUUUGAAAAUUGAUACAAGAAGUUGCUUGUUGAACAAGUUUUGAAGUCUUGGUCAAAUGUAUUACAAUAUUGCAUGAUUUAUAUCCUUGUAAAAGAGUGAACAUCAACAUAUUGUAUUCUGAGACUCUUCUUUUCAACAAUGGAAGCAACCUUUAUUUUUC